GGAGUGGUAGUUCAGUUGGUUAGAAUACCUGCCUGUCACGCAGGGGGUAGCGGGUUCGAGUCCCGUCCAUUCCGCCA
This 77-nucleotide transfer RNA is filed under the name Francisella tularensis subsp. holarctica. RNAcentral describes it as "tRNA-Asp". It matches the Rfam family "tRNA". From Rfam's summary of the family: Transfer RNA (tRNA) molecules are approximately 80 nucleotides in length. Their secondary structure includes four short double-helical elements and three loops (D, anti-codon, and T loops). Lineage: Bacteria; Pseudomonadati; Pseudomonadota; Gammaproteobacteria; Thiotrichales; Francisellaceae. The record is from RNAcentral.